This is a long non-coding RNA of Podarcis raffonei (Aeolian wall lizard), 268 nucleotides long. RefSeq lists it as uncharacterized. NCBI's taxonomy places the organism in Eukaryota, Metazoa, Chordata, Lepidosauria, Squamata, Lacertidae. The record is from RefSeq and is a predicted model, not a curated record. The transcript has 2 exons.
UGAGGUCACAAUGGUCAGCCUGCCUUCAGCAGGCAUAAAGACACACUGAUCAGUCAGUGUCUCUUCCUGGAGGAAGCAGCAGCAAUUUGUGGGCACUGUAAUCUGUUGCUCUCUCUCACUCCCAUACAGAGGCUGGCAGAAGCAGGACCAUACAGGCACAGUUUGUCACCAAGUUAAUAAGGUACCUGAAGGUCAAAUGCAGAUGUUCCUGCAGCAUAUAGUGAAGGCAGCACUUUUCAAAUAAACUAUGUGAUUGUGGCACCACCUA